UACUUCCCAUCGAUUACAAUUUCCCCAUAUUUCUUCCCCAAAUUCAACACCAAAAACUCUACGGCAUGUCGGCGGUAGGCUAUGGUUUUGCUGAAGCAUAUGUGCUGAGGGACCUCCACAAGAAGAAGAUGAAGACGGAAAGAGAAGAAAGAGCCAAGCUCGGCAGGGCGGAGUUGGAACCGGAAAUGGUAACGUCGAGUGGUUGCUUCUUCUUCUCGGUGUUGAAAAAAGUCCAUCCAAGCAAUGUUCAAAGGACUUGUUCUGCUGAAACUGAAGAAGUUGGAACUUUGAACCAUAAAGAUUACGGAAACUGAAGAAAACAAGACAUGGCUAAAAGAACAAAUCCCCAGGGAAACAUCGAAGCAUAUCCGCUGGCGGAAAUAUAGUAGCUAAGGCGUCUGCAACAAAGUAGCUUUUUCGAAACUCAUGCUGGACGGAGAUGGUGAAGUCCAAUCUCUUGUCAGGGCCGGCUCAGGCCCAGUGCAGGCAGGGCGACCGUCCAGGGCCCUAAAAAAUUAGGGGCACCAAAAUUAUUAGGGUGGUAUAUUUAUAUAUGUUUUUAUAAGAGUAUAAAUUUAUAAAGUUUGGUUCAAAUACACAGAAAUUAAACUAGAAGUGGUGGUUUGUCAUUUAAAAAUAAUGAGGAGGUCUUGGGUUCGAAACACCACAUGUGUGCUUAUUUACUUUCCAUUUUUCAAUUAUUUUUGUUGUUUAAAAUUAACAAGAGGUCCUAAGUUCGAAAUGCUAUGUGCAUGUUUAUUUUUUUCAAUUUUUACAAAUUUUUGUGUGGUUGUUAAUUUAUUUUUAGUUACUAGUAGCUAUGUAGGUUGUUAUUUUUAAAUAUUCAUUUUCAUUUAAGUCUAAUCUUCAACAAAAAAUAAUACGUAGACCAAAUUUGCAAAUUAUAUGAUGUGUCAUCAAAAUGUUUAAUUUAGUGCCCAUUCAUUAAUAAGACAUAUCAAUUAAAGACUCAAAAACAUCAUUAUUGUUUAGUCUCAUAUUGACAAGGUUAUUAAAUAAGAAAAAAAAACAUCUCACGAUUUAUUCAAAAACACAUUCAAAGUUCAGAUGAAAAACAAAACUCAUCAUCUAUCUACUUGUAAGCCCGAAGUUUUUUUGUUUCCCUCUCUCAAUACAAAAUAAAUUAGUCUUUCAGUGUUUCUAAAUUAUUGAGUUUGAAGUGUUUUUCUCAGUAUAAUUUUUUCGAUGUCUUAUGUGUGAAAAUAAAAAAAUUUCUUACAUGAAGUUAGGGCACUUUUUUUUACGUCGCCCGGGGCCUCAAAAAUCUUUGGACCGGCACUGUCUCUUGUGUGCUGUAUAUAUAAGACAUUGUUCUAUUGAAUGAUUAUUUUUUGCAUAAAACUCUUUUGUCAGUCAAGCUCUAAUAAAACAUGAUCGCUAGUUAUUUCAACCUAACAAUUAUAAAGUACCGGAUAUAAUUCCCAAAACAAAAGGUUACAAAUGUGUACAGAACUUGUAAGACCCUCUAAACUCGUAUACAAACUCACGAAAACUCUGCAAAUUCACAUUCGUUAGUUUGCUUUAAGGCGGAAAGCAUGUCGGAAUUCAGACUUUUGGCCCUAGCGGAGAAAACAGCAACUCUCAAUCGAGAGCCAAGAAAGAAAGUCCUCGCAACAGAAGGCUUACUCAAAUCCAAAUUCUUAGGAUAUGUCUGAAAAUUAAAAGAAUGGAACUCCAUUUUGCACCUGAAAUGUUCCGGAUACAUAUUUCGGUCCAAGGAAUGAACCAUAUGUUUACUCAAACACAAUCUGCUAGCAGCUUCAUCGACCAUCCGAUCAUGUUUUUGUUCUAGUAGUACUACUAUGGUCGUUGAACCGAAGCUUGUGCUCGAAAACAAAAUCACCAUUAUUACAACUAGUAGUACAACUAUGGUGUUGAAGGGACCGAAACCAAUAAAAAUAAGGAAAACUAAUGAAAAGGGCUUGAAAACUUUGAGUUUUAAUGAUAAGGACAAAAUAAAGGGUAAAGUGAAUAGUAGCAGGAUUGACUUUUUAGUGUAAAAAUGUGGUUUUUCGUUAAAGUGAACAGUACCGGGUGAUUUUCGUUAAAGUUCCCAUAAAAAUAAGCUCGUGGUCGUCUCCUGGAAAAUAUAGCACCCCAUUGUAUGCAAAGGAGACCUCCGCAAGGUUAUCACUAUAAGUAUCGCGGGGAUGACACAACUUCGAGCUUACAAGUAGAUAGAUUAUGAGUUUUGUUUUCCAUCUGAACUUUUAAAGUGUUUUUGUAUAAAUCGUGAAUUUUUCUUAUUUACUAACCUCGUCAAUAUAAGACUAAAAAAAUAUUAAUGUUUUUGGGUCUUUAUAAGGAUAUGUAUAAGUAAUGAAUGAACAUUAAAUUAAACAUUUUGAUGACACGUAAUAUUACUUGCAAAUUUGGUCUAAAAAUUUAAUCUACGCAUUACUCUUUACUGAUGAUGAGACUUGAAUUGGAAUGGAUAUUUAAAAAUAGCAACCAACAUAGCUACUAGCUAGUAAAUAAAUUAACAACCAAACAAAAAUUUGUAAAAAUUGAAAAAAAUAAACAUGCACAUAGCAUUUCGAACUUAGGACCUCUCAUUAAUUUUAAACAACAAAAACCAUUGCUUCUAAUUAAACAUCUUGAUCAUUUAGCCAAAUUUUAUAAAUUUAUACAUUAUGAAAAGAAGCACACAUGGUGGUUUGAACCUAAGACCUUCUCAUUCAUUUUAAACAACAAAACCACUAGUUCUAGUUAAAUUUCUUUGUCACUAAACCAAAUUUUAUAAAUUUAUACUCUUAUAAAAACAUAUAUAAAUAUACCGCCUUAAUAAUUUUGGUGCCCCCAAUUUUUUUGGGCCCUGAACGGUCGCCCUGCCCGCACUGGACCUGGGCCGGGCCUGGAGAAGACCUCCAGGCACCUUUCGCAGAUUCAUCGCGGCCGAGGGGGGGGGGAAGAAUUCUCAACACCUUGCACCUACACUCAGCAUCAAGUUGGAUGUCAUGUCCUUUCCAAGAAAAUAAGAAUCCGCGAUUGAAGUGCGCCAAGGCUUGGACAGAGACUUGCAUUAGAAAAUAAAUUUGUUGCUUGGAAGUCGGCAAAGGAUUUCAACCAGUACAACGUCAGGGAGAUCGUCAAUUGAUGAUGACCGUCUUUCGGCUGAUGAUAUCUUUGAUCUUUUUUACUGACAAGAAAUCGGCAACCCAAGAGACGAUUGGGAUCUCUUCCUUCCUUCGGCUUGAGUAUCACACUUAGCGUCCCUGGAUGAUUGACUUCCUGCAAGAUUUCGCAUAUCCUCGUAAGAAAAAGAGUCUAAUUGCCCAUCAAAAUAUCAAUACUUGCGGGUACAUUAGUCAAACGAAAACCAUCAGUCUAAUGGAAAAGCUCUUACCACCCUCGGAUAUUCCAUUUAAGAUUUUCGGAUCCAUGUUUAAAUGAAUAAAAAAAGGAGAUGGUAAACACCAUUUUCUUGAAGUUCUAAUCAAACCGUUAUCGUUUCACAUAAAUAAUUUCAAAACGUAAAACGCAUCUUGUCAUUUUCUAGCAAUAGAUAUAUGAUAUAGAAAAUAAUAUUUUAAUUUUUAAAUAAGAGGAAGUGUAGAUAGAUGUCUGAUAAAAAAUCAAAAAUUAAAUUUAGUCUAUAGACUUUAUUUAAUGUCGCCACAUGCAUUCAAUGUCAUUUUUUAUUUUUUAUUUUUUUUAUUUUUUUGUCUUUUUAUUUUAUAAUUUCGUGGUGUCUAUUGAAACCAAAUUCACACACCGUCGCUAACGAAGGAGGUUGGCAAGUCUGGUUACCGGUUAGAAAGCAAAUAACCAUAGUCAAAACCUUGACACCCUUUUAACACAAAUUAAAAAAUGACAGGCAAUGAGUACGCCCCACUAACAUGAGUGCGUCGCAUGUUAACUUUUAGUUUUUGGUCGUCACCGAUUGCAUCACAUCAACUGUCUUUUUAUAUCCACUUUACACAACAAGAAUUGGUUCAUCACAAACCAAACACAUUAGCACUUGUAUUUUCUUUUUGUUGUUUGAGAUAAGUAGAUUCUUUUAAUUUUGUCUUUAAAAAAGUUACAAAGAAGAUUCUUUACGGAUAUUGAUGGGUCGAUUUUAUAUUAUAUAGGGUAAUAUUUUACCUUAUUUUUAGUAGGUUUUGAUAAUUAUUUUGGUUGAAUUUUGAUACUUUAUUUUGUAUUUUCAAUAUAGGACAUUCAACUUCCCCUGAAUCAAAAUAUGACCAAACGGACAAAUUUUAGAGUGAUUCAAAUUGGAGGACGUUCAUAUGUCUCUUAGCGUGUUCGUGUCAAAAUUUCGGUUUUUUCUACCAAACUGUUAUUUUCUGGCGAUGGAAUAAAGAAGCAAUGUGAGUUGUUUGAAAGUGACGUUUAUGGGCUUAAUUGCGAUUUUUGAAGCUCAAGAUGACCUCUAAUGGGCUUAAUUUAUUUUGGUUUCAUAGUCUUAUUGGAAGAUUUUAGGUGAAUUGAAUUAUAGCAGUUUAAAUAAGCUUGGCCGAGCUUAGAGAUUUUCGGACUUUUACAUUCAAGGUGUUUUUGAUCUUUUAUAUUUCAAUACAAUUCCUUUUGAUUUCAAUACAAUUCCUUCUAAUUUUAAUUAUGAAUAUGCGUAACUAAUCUCUUUUGCUAAGGUGAGGCCACGAGCUUAGUAAGAAUAUGUAGUUUAUUUUCAAUUUGCUUAUGAUAAUAUGCAUGCAGGUUUUUGAGUUAUUAAUCAAUGGUUUAAACUAUCUAAGUAUCUUGAUGAUUCGAGACCAUUAUAAUGUUUAGAAAAGUAAUUUGUUGCAAUUUUGGUCGAAGGUAGGUCCCUGAAAUUGACGAAGGCUUCUUGUGGUUAAUAUGUGAACCAUGUUGGUUGUAACACUUAGUAUCACAUACUUUGUGUCAAAGUACGCAUGUUGAAGCUCUGAGUUAGAGUAUAAGGGUAGGUCAGCGUAGACCAAGUGUUCCAGUGCUAGGAAUGCAAAAGACUCAAGAGAAGUUGUCUGAAUUCCCUCUUCUUUAAAUAUUUGCCGAAUGGCUUGUGUGACAAAAGAUCGCAAGCGGUUGAGGGUCAAAACAUUUGUAAUGUGUAUGCCUUCUUAUAAUAGCAUUUCCUUCAAUACCUAAUCCUCCACUUUGAAAGAGUGAAGCUUUGCCCUAUAGUCAUAAUAGUCGACGGUACGUUCACCCCUGGUUGUUUUGAUACGAACUUUUAUCCCUCUUGUUGUAAUGGGCUUCCUGAGAGUAAAAAUCUUUCCUUUUACCAAGAGACAGAUACGUUUGGUGACUUAGCGAGUAGCUAAAUGAGGCAGGAGAUGAUGCAAUGGGUGUCUGAAUGGUCAAGAUCUCCUUACUUGGUAGAACUUGACUUCCACUUCCCAUUCGUAUGUCCUUGCUUCGGCGGAGGCGUGAUUGUAAGCUUGUGCCAUCACCUCAGAGUAAGUCUUCCAUUUGUUGGCAUUAAUCAUGUACUUGAAGAAACAAUCACGUAGGCAUGUCCUGAAGACCUUGAGGGCUGUCUUGUCAUCUGCCUCGGUACAACAGGAAUACUCAUGGCUGAAGCGGCCAGCAUACAUAUGUAAUGACUCGUCUGGCUUCUGGCAAAUAGUGUACAAGUCACCCGCAGAGUGCAAGCGAUCGAUCUGGAAAAUGUGUUGAGAAACAAACAGUUUCCUCAAUUCCUCAAAUGAGUCUACCGUCUCAGGUGGAAGACGAUAAUACCAGUUUAGAGUUCCGCCAGAGAGCGUGGAGGGGAAGAGAAGACAUCGCUCUUCGUCGGUGUGCAUCCGGUAUGCCAUGGUGGACUCAAAAAGGUUAAGGUGUUCAAUCGGGUCCUCCUUUCUAGUAUAUAGUUGCAAGCAAAGCUUCUGCUUUGUCUUUGCUUGGAGGGGGUGGAAAUGAUCCUCCUUGUAAGAGGGCCAAGCCUAGGUUGGUUCCAAUCAUGUAUCUCAGCUUGUCGUUCGGCCUUCAACUUGUUUACUUCCUUAAAGAUCUGUAGGACAAGAGGGUCCUGAGUGGAGUCAUAUACCGCUGGAGCUUUCUUUCGUAAAUCUCCAUCUCCUCUUGGAAGUAGGAAGGUUUGAUCAAGAGCAUGUGAUUUUUCCCUGGACUCAUCGUACUAACUUCCAAGGUAUGUCUGUCGGAACAUCUCUAAGUCCUCUAUACCUUCGUGUUUCUCUAGAACUUGUUGCCCCUUCCCCAAAUUGGUAGUUGGCCUGGGACAUGGGAGGAGACCGAGUCUUUCAGAGACCCUUGGGUCAUUGAUCUUCGAGCUUACAUGGAUGGGAUUGUCCCGACGUUGCUUUAGGAAGUCUCCACAGUCGUGAAAGACGACUUUCGAUCCUUCCACUCCUUCUGUAAAAAGGUGCCUUCCUCCACUCCUCCUGCUUCGGGUCGAAGCAGCUGGGUUGAGAGAAGUCUCAUGUUGGUCGCCAUUUCGAUGAGUAGCUCGCUCCUCAACAAGAAUACCCAUGCCGAGGGCAAAUGACCCUCCGUGUUGGGGGGCACCCAGUUAAUGGUUGACUUCCACAUGGGUGAUGAGCUCGUGUGUUUUAGUAUAUCUAGCCUCGUGGAGCAUCUAAAAGACCUUCUCAUACUGCUCUUGGAGGAUCUCAUUCUUCAUCGCUAUCUUGUUGUUCUGAGCUUCCAACUCAUCGACUUUAGCCUGAAGAGCAAACUUCUUUUGUUCCUUCUUUCGUUGCUUCGCACCAGGUGCGAGGGGGGUGUUGUUCUGCUGUUGUGGCUUCCUUCGCUCCCCAUGUUGGAAAGGGAUACCUGGUCAAAAGAGAGUGUACGAAUGGUGGAAACCAGCUUAACAAAGCUAAAAAGAGUGGGAAUAAGUGUCGUUCCCACAUACGGCGCCAAAUGUUGAUGCACAAAAUCAGUGAAGACUUUGGUACAAUAGAAAGUGUUAAGUUUGUGACCUUCGCUAGAUUGCUCCGGUCACUAGUGUGGAUAAGUAUGCAAAUGGAUAGAGAUAGGGAAGCAAACACAAGAUGUACGUGGUUCACCCAAAUUGGCUACGUCCACGGAGUAGAGGAGUUCUCAUUAAUUGUGAAGGGUUUACACAAGUACAUAGGUUCAAGCUCUCCUUUAGUGAGUACUAGUGAAUGAUUUAGUACAAAUGACAUUAGGAAAUAUUGUGGGAGAAUGAUCUCCUUUUAUAGAAGAGAGUUUCUAGCUUUGUUCUGACAUUGACAAGUGUCGUGUUGUGAUUGGCUUCUGAUGUCGACACGUGUCGCACUAUGAUUGGCUUCUGAUGUCGACACGUGUCGCGCUGUGAUUGGCCUCCUGGUUUGAGGGAAACUCUUCUGAGUUCUUAACAGUAUAACGUUGAUCGGUGCUCAUUAGUUUCGGGAUUUGUCAAGUAUGGUAUAAACAUAAAGUAAAAAGCUAAUACAUUUCAGAAAAUUCUGAGCAAACGAGACAUUUUAGAAAAUUUAGUAGAAAAUUAUUUAACUGAAGAUAUAGUACGUGGGGAAGUUUCACUUUUGGGCCUGUUUUCUCCAAUAAUAAAUAAAUGAGGAAGGCAUAAAUAUUGGACAGAUGAAUAGAAUAAAUUCAUCCCAUUCCGAAUCCCCUUCAAACACGACAUACAAUAUGCAAAACAUGCAUGUAGAAAAGUAGAAAACAAAUACAAGUAACAAACAAAAUGUAGAAUGGUAAAGUGAGAAAAGAAUCAAACCACUAUGUGUAAAAGUUGAGAUUUCACCAUAAAAUUAAUUGGCAAUAUAAGAAGAAGUCCAACUUAUUUAUAAGCUCAUGUAAGGUCCCUCCUUCCUUCAAUGUGGGAUUUAUUCUCAACACACGCCCUCACGUUCAACGAAUUUUCAAGCCUCAAUGUGGAAUAUAUGAAUAUGACCUGGCACUUUCAUUAAAAAAUGAUUUCGUGCAAGGUUAUAAUUCUAGACUGGGCUAUGUUUAGCUCUUUCGGUUGGAGAUGACUUUAUAGGCCCAUACAAGAUCUCUCAUCCCAUCAAUAUGUGUGAUUCAUUCUCAACAAUAUUGCUUUGUCCAACAACUGAACUUCAUGCUUAAUGCACAAGUAUCACACAAGUAUGUACUCUAAUUUUUUUUAAAGUACUUUUACCCAAAAAAAAAUUCAAAUAGAUCUUCAAGUGACAAUGAAAAUAAAAAAGGAAAUUCAAAAUUUGAAUAGUUCGCUCUAUUAUAUAUUUGACUUACUCAAAAUUAAAGUUUGAUCAUGCAUUUAAACAAAAAUUUAAGGAGGAAAACUCGAAUACAUGAAAGAAUAAAUUGAGUUAAAAGAAUUAGAUGAUAGUAGCCUUUCAAAAGUGGUCAUUUCUUUGAAAGGGAGAGAACCAUCAUUAAUAAAGGCAUCUUAUUGUAAACUUCUCGUUUACUCAACAAUUGUAGGUACCUAACUAACUAGCUUGACGCGAAGAGAAAAAAAACCCCAAUGAUUAUGACCCACUAACAUGACUUGUGUCACACGUUAACUUGUUAGUUUUUUUGUCAUCAUAGAUUACAUCACAGAAACCGUCUUUUUAUAUCCACUCCACACAACAACAAUUGUUUCAGUACAAACCAAACAGAUCAUCAUCACUAUUAUCUUUCUUUUUUCGUUUAAGAUAAGAAGAUUCACCCAUUUUUCCUCCACAUCUGUAAGAUGAACCCAAUUUUGUACAUUUAAACAACAACAGAAAUUAUAAAACAUUGAAAAAUAGAGUUACCCGAAACUUCAAACAAAAUAAGUCACAAGUUAUAUUCAAUAGAAUUAUUGCAAUUUUUUAAAUAAAUUUAAUUAUGUAAAGUUAUACAAAUAAUUAAGUUGAGAUUAUAUUAAUGUGAACAGUACAUCGCACAUCCGGCCCUAAAAGUUAAUAAAAGUUGGUUCCAAUCAAAAUCACCAACAACCAAUUUCGUCGUUGCCGCUACAAGGCAAAAGUCAAGACUCAAAGCCGUCAUAAAUAAAUCUGUCAACGGUCAAAUCGGAAAAAGCAAGAUGACUGCGUGUUCCCCAAACAAUUUCGUCGUUGCCGCUACAAGGCAAAAGUGAAGACUCAAAACCGCCAUGAACAAAUCUGUCAACGGUCAAAUCGGAAAAAGCAAGAUGACUGCGUGUUCCCCAAGAAAGCAUAAACCUCCUAUAAAUAUACUAAUCUCAUCACCCUCUGAAUACUUCCUAUCAGCUGCAAAUUCCCCAUAUUUCUUCCCCAAAUUCAACACAAAAAACUUUACAGCAUGUCGGCGGUAGGCUAUGGUUUUGCUGAAGCAUAUGUGCUGAGGGAUCUCCACAAGAAGAAGAUGAAGACGGAAAAAGAAGAAAGAGCCAAGCUCGGCAGGGUGGAGUCGGAACCGGAAAUGGUAACGUCAAGUGGUUGUUUCUUCCGCUCGGUGUUGAAGAAAGUCCAUCCAAGCAAUGUUCAAAGGACUAGUUCUGCUGAAACUGAAGAAGUUGGAACUUCGAACCGUAAAGAUUACGGAAACUGAAGAAAACAAGACACAGCUAAAAGAACAAAGCCCCAGGGAAACAUAGAAGCAUAUCUGCUGGCGGAAAUAUAGUAGCCAAGGCGUUUGCAAGAAAGUUAGCCUUUGCGAAACACAUGCUGGACGGAAAUGGUGAAGUCCAAUUUCUUGUGUGCUGUAUAUAUAAGACAUUGUUAUAUGUAUAAUGAACUGAUUAUUUUUUCCAUAAAACUCUUUUGUCAAUCAUGCUCUAAGAAAACCUGAAUAGCGCGCUAGUUAUUUCAACCUAACAAUUAUAAAGCACCGGAUAAGUCCCAAAACAACUUGUAAGACCUCUAAACUCG
Molecule: long non-coding RNA, 9740 nt
Filed under: Malus domestica (apple)
Lineage: Eukaryota; Viridiplantae; Streptophyta; Magnoliopsida; Rosales; Rosaceae
Description: long non-coding RNA (MDOM_LNC007638)
Source: RNAcentral